CGCGCAGCAGACACACUCCGGGACACCAGCCGGGGAUGAGGAAGAUGAAGAUGAAGAUGAGGACGGAAGAUCAAGGAAUAGAGAGUAAAGAGCGCUCGGACUCUCCCCGGGAAGAGAAAAAGCAGUAACGGACGUCUCUCAGUAAGGUGACUCGGACCUGUUCAAACCCUUUACUAGAGGAAAGGAAUGAAAUGCAGAAAAGAUCUCAGGUGUCGACUUGGAGCUACAGAAUCUUCACAUUACAGCAUGGGCCCUGCUUCUCCAUGGUCAGGGUGAGAACCUGCAAGGUGCUGCGGGUGUGACGAAGAGCACUCAGCUGAUGUUUCACAUGAAAUGAACGAUGUCAAAAGAAAACCAUGUGAUGAUGUCACCAGGAGACCGCCGGCCAAUCACAUGCAGAGCAGCUAGCUUCUCCGAGCCACCAGUUUCCACCAACUCUUCUCAAUUACAUCAUUCUAAGAACUUUCUUAUCAUCAUCAUCUGAACCACACACAGCCCUGCCUUCAGAGUUUAGGCCACACCCACUAUCUGUUUGUUCAGUGUAAAAUUCCAGUUAAACUUGUGGUCUCUAUGAGGUUUUGUUCAGCCUGACUUUACACAAAUGUCUAAACAGAGAUGAAGAGGAUGGGGAGAUUCGAGACGAACCACGAGACGAACCACAAACAAUUGAGUCGCAGCAGCGUUGAUCUUCACCCUGAUUUUGGAAACAAUCUGACAGCCAAUGAGCUCCUGCCAAACAAAUUAACUUGUGCAGAAACUUCUAUAAAAUUCUUCUACAGAUUCUUCUACAGAUGCACUAUGGAGAGCAUCCUAAACGUCUGGUAUGGCAGCUACACUAUACUAGAUUACCAGGUCUUACAGAGGGCUCCAGGUCUUGCAGGUUAUUUACCACACACAGUGUGUGAGGAAGGUUUAAAAAAUCCCAGCUGAUCCCCUUCACCCAGCGCACAGACUGUUCAACAAACCACCAUCAGGCAGACGCUACCAGAGUUUUCAUUCCAGAACCAACAGGCUGAAGAACAGUUUUUACCUUCAGACUAUCAGAAUCAUUAACACACUGUAAUACAAUCUCAACUCAGACCACAGCUGCCAGCAGACUCUGUUAUACAUUUCAUACAUAUUUGCACUGUUUUACACACCGGAGCUGCACAACUCCUAAUUCUCAGAUCUCUACAUCCCACUGCACUCUGUACUAUUGCACCUCACUUGCACAUUGCGUAUCUUUGCGUAUUUUUGUACACCUAAUCUAAUAUAUACACUUGUUAUCCUCGGUCUUACAUAUUUUUUAUUAAGAAAUACC
Molecule: long non-coding RNA, 1300 nt
Organism: Silurus meridionalis
Lineage: Eukaryota; Metazoa; Chordata; Actinopteri; Siluriformes; Siluridae
Exons: 3
Source: RefSeq, a predicted model, not a curated record